CUGUCGCGUCGCUGGAUUUUCACUUUAGGACCUGAACGCAGGGCUUACUUACUUCCUACUGUAGAUGGCACUUUUCUCUGAGGACUCAUGCCUCACUCAUUUCUGGAACAAUUUAUGCCGAGGAUCAGUAAGUAUCGAAAAGGCCUGGGUAGGUCCUUGGUAGGUAAACGGGAAGCUUACCUAAGGGCGCCGAACUUGCUUUCCCAUCAUGGAGCCUGAGGAAAAGUAUAUUGUGAAUCCUUAACAUGUUUUGUUUUCGUUUUUUCGUUUUUUCAUUUUUGGUUGAGAUGUGGGAUAGAAGGAAAUCAGAUGUUGACAGAGCCAGCCUUAAAUGGCAGCAUGUCUCAUACAAUGCCAAUCUUUACUCAAAAAAAAAAAAAAAAAGACUUGCUGUAUAAGUCACAUGCAAUAUAUUAUUAAAGGACAUAAUAAACUCAAGUUAGAAAUAAGUUAAUAAGAUAAUAACUAAAGUUAGAUACUAAGAAUCCUAAUUCCUGUUGAAUUCAGAGAAGUGGACAUGCUACACCAUUCGUUUGGAGAGAAUGAAAUUCACUUAAUAGUGACCAUUCAUUCACACAAUUACACACUUUAUCUCUUACGGUAUUUUCCUAGAACGGAAAUGACUUUAGAACAUUUUCUCACAGAGACCAUCUCUCCAGGGUUGUUUCUUUGCCUGAAGAUAAGAGGACACAAGUGGGUGACCUUCACAUUUUUUUCUCUAUGGAAUUGCCUGGUGCAGACAGAAAAACCCAACUGCAAAAACCCAACAAAGCACACCCUGAUGCCAUUCGUUUUAAUCCAGUGUGACUACAUUCCCAGCUCUAAGCUAGAGGUGCAGAGCCCUAUUUGAAGGACCCACACGGUCUGCCCAAAGGUCAUCCUUUCCUCCGGGUCACAGUUGUACUGGAGGAAAAUGGGAAUUCCAGCACACCCCAAGAAGGUUCAGAUUGGUGGUGCGUUUUAUGAUCCUGGGUUUCUACACUGUUCCCCCUGUAUGCAGCAUUUGGCUUUUGCUUAUCUCUGACUUAGCCAGUCUUGGAGAAUUGAGCAAUGAUGCCAGCUGGCGCACAGUUGAGCCUGCAUCAGCAUCGAUGCCAGUGGCACCACAGUGCGUCUCCGUCUUACUAACGUGCCUCAUACAGGCGUUCAACGUGUGUGCCGACAAAGGAGAGCUGACAGUCAUCCUCCCAGUCAGUGAGUAUGCUACCACAGUGACCAAAAGCAAAUCAAGAGAUUCCCAACUGCCAGUGAUAAGUAAAGAUGGCCAUGGCUUCCUGCUGGUGGAACCAAGAGAUCCUAACUGCCAGUGAUAAUAAGCACUCAGUCAGUGCAUUACCACAGUGACCAAAAACAAACCAAGAGAUAUCAGUAAGGAUGGCCAUGGCUUCCUGCCGGUGGUUUCGGAUGAAUGCUUUGGGCCAGAACACUCUGGGUUCUAAACACAAUCAAACACUAAACUCACUCUCUUGGAGAUGCUUAGGAAAGACGUGCAGCAGCUGCCAGCCCUGAUGUGAAGGAUAAGAGCUAUAACUGGAUACUUGGUUAAAAUUUUAACAUGUUCACAAAACUCCCACCUCCUAUUUAUAUGUCUGAAUGGAUUUUUUCAUACCUCUGACAUUCGUGUGACCUUUUCCAAGAUGAAUGGCCAGUACCUGUCUUGUCUUUGAACACACCUCUUCCUGUAAAUCUAACCACUAACAUAACCUCCAUAACAAAUUUACUUUUCUUUCUUUUGUUUUUUGUUGUUGCUGUUUUUUUUUUUUGAGCUGUAAUUUUGUGCUACUUUUUAAAGUGGUUUAAAUUGGGAGGUACACUCUCUAGUACACCUGACAGGCCGUUGUAUGAAGAAUAAGCCUGAAAUCUAUAACUCAGGGAAGAGAAGGCGGAAACAGUACAGAGGAGAGACACCAGUAAGGUACGAGGCUCAGGGCUGAGGAGGAAAGAGCAGACAUAUGCUCUGAUAGUAAAGCGUUGGGGAGCCAAGGUGACCUAACUGGGGAGGGGUGGCACACUCAUCAAAAGUCUGGGGCUGGUUUUAGGGAAAAGGCAUGCGCCCAGUGUUGGAUACCCUGAGUUUCAGUGUGUAUGUUGCAAGGACAUAGACAAGACUCAGGGUAAUGAGACAUGGAAGUGACAAUUCUUUGUUGAUUGGCAUCUGGGGGGAGGAUAUGGAAAAGAGACUAAGGUAAGAGUGAACUAUCAGGACUGUGGCCGGAACAAGCUGGGGAACAGUCAGCAGUCGCUAUCCCGGGGAGGGGUGGGGGGAGGGCUGCAUGGUGAGUGUCACGUAUGCUGAGCUUGAGAUGGCUUUGAGAACUCCAAGAUGCUAUGGGCAGCUGCAUACGUGGCUUUGAGAUAAAACUCGUGGAUUGCUUUUUGAAGAUGAAUUCUGUAAGAUGAACACUGCCAAGUCUGAAGUGCUCCCCAGAGUCUUAGCUCUUCUCUUGUUGACCAGGGUUAAUAGGCCCUGAGAGUGAUCUCCAAUUAGCCCAUGGUUAAUUGCCGAGAGGGAAGCAUCAUUUGUGGCUUCGUGAAGGUUAAAGAAGACAUCAGCAUUUUGUCAGCAUCACAAUGGCAUCAUGCCAGACUUAGAAGCCACUUCAGCCUGUAUGACAUCAGUAAUUAUUCAUCUAAGUCUUAAAUGUGAGGCAAUUCCUUUCUAUAAGAAAGGAAUCUUAAAUUUAUUCUUUAAAAGUAUUUCUUCUCAACUGUGACAAGAGAAAAAAAAAAAGUCUAUUCACCUCUGACAAAGAGGCCACUAGCCAAAGAAAAAUAUUCUCUUCAACUUAGCUUGGUAAUUGAUCAGAGCCAAAGUACUAAAUAAAACGAUUUUUAAAAAGAUGUUCA
Molecule: long non-coding RNA, 2847 nt
Organism: Mus spicilegus (steppe mouse)
Lineage: Eukaryota; Metazoa; Chordata; Mammalia; Rodentia; Muridae
Source: Ensembl